Molecule: long non-coding RNA, 595 nt
Organism: Hyla sarda
Lineage: Eukaryota; Metazoa; Chordata; Amphibia; Anura; Hylidae
Exons: 3
Source: RefSeq, a predicted model, not a curated record
CCGGAGGCCCCUGUGCAGUCAGUCCCGUGCCCUCCUCCUCUUCAUCACUUCUGCUGAUCUCCUCCCGGCUGCAGACCCCCCUUCACAGCAUCCCUGAAUGGGGUGAAAUGUAAGGAGACAGGCUGCAUGAGAGGAUGAGGAUCUGCUGACAAAUUAAGAAACCAAUGAUGUUCUGGCAUCAGACUCUGCAGAGAAGAUGGAGUUGGAAGACGUCCUGGUGUCUGGACCAGAUGGAGAAGAAAAGAAAAGACAACAGAGAAGACGUCACUCAGGAAUGCAGAAGCAAACAAAGGAGCAUAGACCGUAAAUAUCAGAAGACGUACUAAAAUAGGUGUAAAUACUCGGAGACAUUUGUCCAUCACCUGAAACUUCAGAGACUGCAGCUUUUCCCAACCUAAUGUGAAAUUGAUACUCACAAAGCUUACCCAAAUGCUGAGUACACAGAUAAUGGAACAGGUUAUUUAUAGCAGCCGGAGAAUGUUCUGAGAAAGCUGUCCCCUCCCUGUCUUCCUGUACCAGUCCACAUUUUCUCAUUGUUUCCAGACAGCAAACUUGAUGUAUUAACUCUAUUAUUCCUGAUUCUGAGUGAUACACA